Long non-coding RNA from Oreochromis aureus, 420 nucleotides. RefSeq lists it as uncharacterized. The transcript has 3 exons. The record is from RefSeq and is a predicted model, not a curated record. Lineage: Eukaryota; Metazoa; Chordata; Actinopteri; Cichliformes; Cichlidae.
UUCUGGACAGUACAUCUGUGCUGCAAAACAUCUGGACACAAUUGUGACCAUAAAUGUCAGUGUGACUGUGACUUGGCUAUCAAAUAUUCAAAAUGGUUCAGGAUGUGUGCUUCAGUCACAGAUCUUGACCUGUGUGUGUAUCAUUGAAGGGUUUCCUUUACCUACCAUCCAGUGGUUGCCCCUCAAGAACAACACUGAGUACUCUGUCAUUACUGCUGUGUCAAAUGACACAGUCAACAGCACUUUCAGCCUAAAUGUAGAAAACCAUGGCAACAUCACUUUUGAAUGUGUCAGCAACAAUGGAAAUGAAGAAGCUAAAGAAAAAUUCACAAUCCACAACAACUCUAAAAAAUAUGAGCAACCAUUAGAUUUAAGCAAGGGAUACCUAAAAGUCAUCAUUGCCUUUUUGAUUGGGACACU